Molecule: small RNA, 240 nt
Organism: Staphylococcus haemolyticus JCSC1435
Lineage: Bacteria; Bacillati; Bacillota; Bacilli; Caryophanales; Staphylococcaceae
Rfam family: Staphylococcus sRNA 35 (srn_0335)
About the family: Other name: Srn_0335, SAOUHSCs258. Northern blot transcript confirmed in exponentially growing and stationary cells in three cultivation media.
Source: Rfam
AUAAAUAUAUGGAAGUAGAACAUAUCUGAUAUUUUCUCAAAGUUUAUUUCGUUUUAACCCCAGCUUGCUUAGCUUGUAGAAUUUCUUUAUAAAAUUCUCUUUGCUGGGGCCCCAAACCCCAGCUUGCUUAGCUUGUAGAAUUUCUUUAUGAAUUUCUCUUUGCUGGGGCCCUGACUAGAUUUGAAAAUACUUGAUUCAAGUGCUUUUUUAAACCAGAUAGCUACUGCUAAAAUGAUAAAU